This 1463-nucleotide long non-coding RNA is filed under the name Homo sapiens (human). Its description in RNAcentral is "HSALNT0118424". The record is from RNAcentral. Lineage: Eukaryota; Metazoa; Chordata; Mammalia; Primates; Hominidae.
GGAGAGCAGGGCGUUGAGGCCUCAGGACAUUUGCUGGCAGCAGCAGGAAGAGCAAUAGCCUACAUUGGAGCAGGAGGAUUGAGGACUCCAGAUGGGAGCUGUUUGGGUGAAGACUGAGGUGGAUUGGCCUGGUUUAUCAUCGAGAGCUUGAAAAACUUUAGGAUAUAAGAAAGGAAAGAGGCCUUCCUGGGGGAAGAUAAAUGAGUGUGUGUUUCUUCCAAAGGCAAGGCUCUGAAUGAACGGGCGAUAUUGGGCUUCCGCUGGAACUAGGAUGAGGAUGUGGACACCCCCAACCUGGACCAUCUGGCCGAGGAGGGCGUCAAGGCCAAGUACCUCAUGCCACCCCUUGUCACAAUGACCUCCCCGUCCCACUUCACUGCCAUCACAGAAUCCCAGUGGCCACUAAAACAGAGGGAUUCCAACCUAAAAAGGAGGAAAAGGAGGCUGCUGAAAAGCAAAGGACUCUGUGUAAGAAUCAUAAUAGCGGAGGUGGAGCCAAGAUGGCAGAAUAGGAACAGCUCCAGUCUACAGUUCCCGGAGUGAGCGACGCAGAAGACAGGUGAUUUCUGCAUUUCCAACUGAGGUACUGGGUUCAUCUCACUGGGGAGUGUCAGAAAGUGGGUGCAGGACACCUGGUGCAGUGCAGUGAGCAUGAGUCCAAGCAGGGCGAGGCAUUGCCUCACCGAGGAAGUGCAAGGGGUCAGAGAAUUCCCUUUCCAGGUCAAAGAAAUGGGUCACAGACGGCACCUGGAAAAUCGGGUCACUUCCACCCUAAUACUGCACUUUUCCAAUGGUCUUAGCAAAUGGCACACCAGGAGAUUAUAUCCCAUGCCUGGCUCAGAGGGCCCUACACCCAUGGAGCCUCACUCAUUGCUAGCACAGCAGUCUGAGAUCAAACUGCAAGGUGACAGCAAGGCUGGGGGAGGGGCGCCUGCCAUUGCCUAGGCUUCAGUAGGUAAACAAAGCAGCUGGGAAGCUCCAACUGGGUGGAGCCCAACACAGCUCAAGGAGGCCUGCCUGCAUCUGUAGACUGCACCUCUAAGGGCAGGGCACUGGCAAACAAAAGACAGCAGAAUCCUCUGCAGACUUAAAUAUCCCUGUCUGACAGCUUUGAAGAGAGUAGUGGUUCUCCCAGCACACAGCUGGAGAUCUGAGAAUGGACAGACUGCCUCCUCAAGUGGGUCCCUGACCCCCGAGUAGCCUAACUGGGAGGCACCCCACAGUAGGGGCAGACUGACACCUCACAUGGCCGGGUACUCCUCUGAGACAAAACUUGCAGAGGAACAAUCAGGCAGCAACAUUUCCUGCUCACCAAUAUCUGCUGUUCUGCAGCCUCCACUGCUGAUACCCAGGCAAACUCCAACAGACAUGCAGCUGAGGGUCCUGACUCUCAGAAGGAAAACUAACAAACAGAAAGGACUUCCACACUAAAACCCCAUCUGUACGUCACCAUCAUCAAAGAC